AGGAUUAACGCUGGCGGCGUGCCUAACACAUGCAAGUCGAACGAGGUAGCAAUACCUAGUGGCAGACGGGUGAGUAGCGCGUGGUCAACCUACCGUUGAGUGGGGGAUAACUAGCCGAAAGGUUAGCUAAUACCGCAUACGUCUCCGAGGGGCAUCCCUUGGCGAUAAAAGGAGCAAUCCGCUCGAUGACGGGACCGCGUCCCAUUAGCUAGUUGGUGGGGUAACGGCCUACCAAGGCAUCGAUGGGUAGCUGGUUUGAGAGAGCGACCAGCCACACUGGGACUGAGAUACGGGCCCAGACUCCUACGGGAGGCAGCAGUGAGGAAUUUUCCGCAAUGGGCGAAAGCCUGACGGAGCGACGCCGCGUGUGGGAAGAAGGCCUUCGGGUCGUAAACCACUGUCGAAGGGAAGAUAAUGACGGUACCUUGGAGGAAGCCCCGGCUAACUACGUGCCAGCAGCCGC
Molecule: ribosomal RNA, 463 nt
Filed under: uncultured bacterium
Lineage: Bacteria
Description: SSU rRNA
Rfam family: Bacterial small subunit ribosomal RNA
Source: RNAcentral